Molecule: long non-coding RNA, 1366 nt
Organism: Syngnathoides biaculeatus (alligator pipefish)
Lineage: Eukaryota; Metazoa; Chordata; Actinopteri; Syngnathiformes; Syngnathidae
Exons: 4
Source: RefSeq, a predicted model, not a curated record
GCGUGCGCGUGAAUGUGGACGGCUCGGCUUGGAGGUUCCGGCAGAGGAACUGCGAAUGCCCUCCGAGGGCGGAGGCGGCGCGGGGGGGUGGAAAUGCGACCGUAUACGGCUAAUCAGAGGCGCUGGCGGCCGUCCAUUAGCGACAUUUGCAUGACAAUAACGAGUAGAACGCGCAGACCCGAAACGCAUUAGAAAACGUACGGUGUUGCAUGGAGAGUUGAUUCACAAGUGAACAAUUUAGAGAGAACUUGUCAACUUUCAAAUUUUUGGACUAUGGGUGGAACCCAGAGGAUCCGGACAGAAACCCACACAAGCACGGGGAGAACCCAAAAAAGUGCGAUUGUUUUGUCAGAUGGGCUUCUGGACACGGCCGCAGCCUAAAUGAUGGAAGUUGAUGAGGCACUUUGCAGAAAAUGUGGUUUGUCCACGAGCUGCGGCCACGAUUAAUCAACCAAGGCGCACUCCGAAUAGGACAUGGAGCCGUUCCUGCGAAGAGAAACCUCAGGCGUUUCUAUGACAUCAUCAAAGCUCUGGAUGGUCUUAGACCUCAACAUACUCGAGACUUUUCGGGGUCAAGGGAUUUGAGUGUAACCAGAACCCAACUAAAGUGUUGUGUUUCCAUGUUCCUCACCUGUGGAAUAAACAUCCCGAAAAGCGGCCAGCUGCUCAAACUCCGUGUACAUUUAAAUCUCAGCUGGGAAUUGUUCAAUGUUUUUUCGUAUAUCAAGGAUAUUGUUAAUCUUUUAUAGUUUUGCCUUCAUUUUGAGAUUUUAAAAGUCAAAUCAGUGGCCCCUGACGCAUGUUGAAUUAAAAAAAAAAAAUGCUAAAAUGGAAGACUGGGUGUGUACGAGUUGCAUCAGUGGUUGGUAUCGGUGCGCUGAAUAAAAAAGGCUCGGAUCAGUACUCGGCCGUCCCUAUCCUUGAACAAGCAAAGAAAUCGUGAUUAAGAAGAUAAAAUCAUAACGAAUAAAAAAUGACAAAACACAGAAUACAAGUUAACAUCUCAUGCACUGCCAGUCGUCCACGUUAACGGAUAUUUAAACUCUGAAGCCGUCAAUGGCAGUAAAUGUUUUGCAGACGAGAAAAAAAAAGACUGAGUAAAUCCUUCUCGCUAGUAGUUGGCGUCACACAUUGCAGCGAUUUGGUAUCAAUGAAUCAUCAUUUGCGUCAGAAGGAAACAAAAGCUCUACUGUACGCUCACAAUUACAUGCGACUGUGCUACGCUUGUCAAUGCUUGUGCUGGUAUCAGUAUGAAAGAAGUUGUCCCAAAAACUGCUACAGAUUAAUUUGCCCUUUUGCAAUAAUGGUGCUGUUAUAAAUAAUCCCGUCUUGCCUUGUAUUACUUUACUACUACAGUCGUAGUUAG